Rhinopithecus roxellana (golden snub-nosed monkey) is the source of this 1710-nucleotide RNA transcript. It is a transcript of the gene named growth hormone-inducible transmembrane protein pseudogene, with no coding region annotated. The transcript has a single exon. NCBI's taxonomy places the organism in Eukaryota, Metazoa, Chordata, Mammalia, Primates, Cercopithecidae. The record is from RefSeq and is a predicted model, not a curated record.
UGAGGACUCAGGCCCCUUGCUUGGAUCAUGCUGCCCCAUCGGGUGCUGCCCCUGCCCUCUUCCUCUGAGUUCUAACAACACAGACACCAGCGCCUGAAAGCCCUGCCGCUGCCAGGGAGUUAGAAUUCUGGCUGCCUCUACUUGGGAAUCUCCUUCCAUGUGUGGAUCUGCAGAACAUCCAGAUGGGGCCAUCCCACCUCAUGAUCCAUUCACUCCCAGUGGGAUACACUGGAACUCAACCUUGGAGACUGGAGCCCAACAGAUUAAGGCAGAAUUCUCCUUGCUUUGGAGGCAGGUCUGCAGGGAGGGGGUGAAGUCUAGCUGCCCCUCAUGUCCCAUCCCAGUGAGGGUACUGGUUUUCCACAGCUAAGCCCAGGAGCUUCCUAUAUCCCGUCUGCUGAGACAGCAAGGGGUGUGGCCCGGCCAGCCUCCUGACAUGGUUUCCACUGACCUCUGAAAGCCCCUGCAGCUCAGCCUUUAAACCUCCAUUCCCGGAAGGGAAACUACGCGGCAAAGGUGACCGGGGACCGAGCAUUUCAGAUCUGCUUGGUAGACCUGGUGCACCACCACCAUGUUGGCUGCAAGGCUUGUGUGUCUCCGGACACUACCUUCUAGGGUUUUCCACCCAGCUUUCACCAAGGCCUCCCCUGUUGUGAAGAAUUCCAUCAUGAAGAAUCAACGGCUGUUAACACCCAGCAGGGAAUAUGCCACCAAAACAAGAAUUGGGAUCCGGCGUGGGAGAACUGGUCAAGAACUCAAAGAGGCAGCAUUUGAACCAUUGAUGGAAAAAAUAUUUAAAAUUGAUCAGAUGGGAAGAUGGUUUGUUGCUGGAGGGGCUGCUGUUGGUCUUGGAGCAUUGUGCUACUAUGGGUUGGGACUGUCUAAUGAGAUUGGAGCUAUUGAAAAGGCUGUAAUUUGGCCUCAGUAUGUGAAGGACAGAAUUCAUUCCACCUGUAUGUACUUAGCAGGGAGUAUUGGUUUAACAGCUUUGUCUGCCAUAGCAAUAAGCAGAUCGCCUGUUCUCAUGAACUUCAUGAUGAGAGGCUCUUUGGUGACAAUUGGUAUGACCUUUGCAGCCAUGGUUGGAGCUGGAAUGCUGGUACAAUCAAUACCAUAUGACCAGAGCCCAGGCCCAAAGCAUCUUGCCUGGUUGCUACAUUCUGGUGUGAUGGGUGUAGUGGUGGCUCUUCUGACAAUAUUAGUGGGUCCUCUUCUCAUCAGAGCUGCAUGGUACACAGCUGGCAUUGUGGGAGGCCUCUCCACUGUGGCCAUGUGUGCGCCCAGUGAAAAGUUUCUGGACAUGGGUGCGCCCCUGGGAGUGGGCCUGGGUUUCGUCUUUGUGUCCUCACUGGGAUCUAUGUUUCUUCCACCUACCACUGUGGCUGGUGCCACUCUUUACUCAGUGGCAAUGUAUGGUGGAUUAGUUCUUUUCAGCAUGUUCCUCUUGUAUGAUACCCAGAAAGUAAUCAAGUGUGCAGAAGUGUCACCAGCAUAUGGAGUUCAAAAAUAUGAUCCCAUUAACUUGAUGCUGAAUAUCUACAUGGAUACAUUAAAUAUAUUUAAACGAGUUGCAACUAUGCUAGCAACUGGAAGCAACAGAAAGAAAUGAAGUGACUCAGCGUCUGGCUUCUCUGCUACAUCAAACAUCUUGCUUGUUUAAUGGGGCAGAUAUGCAUUAAAUAGUUUGUACAAGCAAAAAAAAAAAAACCU